GUUUCUAUAGUUUAAUGGAUAGAACAGUAGCCCCCGGAGCUGCAAGUAGCGGUUCGACUCCGCUUAGAAACA
Molecule: transfer RNA, 72 nt
Filed under: Lachnospiraceae bacterium
Lineage: Bacteria; Bacillati; Bacillota; Clostridia; Lachnospirales; Lachnospiraceae
Also listed under: 1 other name
Description: tRNA-Arg
Rfam family: tRNA
About the family: Transfer RNA (tRNA) molecules are approximately 80 nucleotides in length. Their secondary structure includes four short double-helical elements and three loops (D, anti-codon, and T loops). Further hydrogen bonds mediate the characteristic L-shaped molecular structure. tRNAs have two regions of fundamental functional importance: the anti-codon, which is responsible for specific mRNA codon recognition, and the 3' end, to which the tRNAs corresponding amino acid is attached (by aminoacyl-tRNA synthetases). tRNAs cope with the degeneracy of the genetic code in two manners: having more than one tRNA (with a specific anti-codon) for a particular amino acid; and 'wobble' base-pairing, i.e. permitting non-standard base-pairing at the 3rd anti-codon position.
Source: RNAcentral